GAUGAACGCUGGCGGCGUGCCUAAUACAUGCAAGUCGAGCGAACGGACGAGAAGCUUGCUUCUCUGAUGUUAGCGGCGGACGGGUGAGUAACACGUGGAUAACCUACCUAUAAGACUGGGAUAACUUCGGGAAACCGGAGCUAAUACCGGAUGAUAUUUUGAACCGCAUGGUUCAAAAGUGAAAGACGGUCUUGCUGUCACUUAUAGAUGGAUCCGCGCUGCAUUAGCUAGUUGGUAAGGUAAUGGCUUACCAAGGCAACGAUGCAUAGCCGACCUGAGAGGGUGAUCGGCCACACUGGAACUGAGACACGGUCCAGACUCCUACGGGAGGCAGCAGUAGGGAAUCUUCCGCAAUGGGCGAAAGCCUGACGGAGCAACGCCGCGUGAGUGAUGAAGGUCUUCGGAUCGUAAAACUCUGUUAUUAGGGAAGAACAUAUGUGUAAGUAACUGUGCACAUCUUGACGGUACCUAAGCAGAAAGCCACGGCUAACUACGU
Molecule: ribosomal RNA, 496 nt
Filed under: uncultured bacterium
Lineage: Bacteria
Description: partial 16S ribosomal RNA
Rfam family: Bacterial small subunit ribosomal RNA
Source: RNAcentral